Molecule: ribosomal RNA, 258 nt
Filed under: uncultured bacterium
Lineage: Bacteria
Description: partial 16S ribosomal RNA
Rfam family: Bacterial small subunit ribosomal RNA
Source: RNAcentral
CGGACGGGUGAGUAACGCGUGGGGAACCUGCCCUGUACCGGGGGAUAGCAGCCGGAAACGGCUGAUAAUACCGCAUAAGCGCACGAAUGUCGCAUGACAUGGUGUGAAAAACUCCGGUGGUAUAGGAUGGACCCGCGUCUGAUUAGCCUGUUGGUGGGGUAAAAGCCUACCAAAGCGAAGAUCAGUAGCCGAGUUGAGAGACUGACCGGCCACAUUGGGACUGAGACACGGCCCAGACUCCUACGGGAGGCAGCAGCG